UACGUUGAAGCACUGGUUCUUGUAUGAUCACCAAAGUUAAGCAACGUUGAACCUGGUUAGUACUUAGAUGGGUGACUGGUUGGGAAUACCAGGUGCUGUAAG
Molecule: non-coding RNA, 102 nt
Organism: Acanthosepion pharaonis
Lineage: Eukaryota; Metazoa; Mollusca; Cephalopoda; Sepiida; Sepiidae
Source: the annotation of a GenBank genome assembly